UGUUCCCACAAGAUUACCUACAAUAUGGGAUUAUUCAAGGAGCGGACAAACAAAUUCCUUAAAUGCCGGCAACGCAUCGGCGGUACCUCUGGUGCUGCAAACCUGCUGGGCGGCGGUAAUCACUUAACAUCAGGUGACCCGCCCGUUCGCUAUUUUGCUCGCUAUCUCUAUU
Molecule: long non-coding RNA, 172 nt
Organism: Maniola jurtina (meadow brown)
Lineage: Eukaryota; Metazoa; Arthropoda; Insecta; Lepidoptera; Nymphalidae
Exons: 3
Source: RefSeq, a predicted model, not a curated record